This 22-nucleotide non-coding RNA is filed under the name Arabidopsis thaliana (thale cress). Lineage: Eukaryota; Viridiplantae; Streptophyta; Magnoliopsida; Brassicales; Brassicaceae. The record is from RNAcentral.
UAAUUACAGGGAAUGCCACUGC